Molecule: ribosomal RNA, 1798 nt
Filed under: Enterobacter cloacae
Lineage: Bacteria; Pseudomonadati; Pseudomonadota; Gammaproteobacteria; Enterobacterales; Enterobacteriaceae
Description: bacterial LSU rRNA
Rfam family: Bacterial large subunit ribosomal RNA
Source: RNAcentral
GGGUUGUGAGGUUAAGCGACUAAGCGUACACGGUGGAUGCCCUGGCAGUCAGAGGCGAUGAAGGACGUGCUAAUCUGCGAAAAGCGCCGGCGAGGUGAUAUGAACCCUUGACCCGGCGAUGUCCGAAUGGGGAAACCCAGUGUGAUUCGUCACACUAUCGUUAACUGAAUACAUAGGUUAACGAGGCGAACCGGGGGAACUGAAACAUCUAAGUACCCCGAGGAAAAGAAAUCAACCGAGAUUCCCCCAGUAGCGGCGAGCGAACGGGGAGCAGCCCGGAGUCUGAAUCAGCUUGUGUGUUAGUGGAACGGUCUGGAAAGUCCGACGGUACAGGGUGAUAGUCCCGUACACGAAAACACACUUGCUGUGAACUCGAAGAGUAGGGCGGGACACGUGGUAUCCUGUCUGAAUAUGGGGGGACCAUCCUCCAAGGCUAAAUACUCCUGACUGACCGAUAGUGAACCAGUACCGUGAGGGAAAGGCGAAAAGAACCCCGGCGAGGGGAGUGAAAAAGAACCUGAAACCGUGUACGUACAAGCAGUGGGAGCCUCUUUAUGGGGUGACUGCGUACCUUUUGUAUAAUGGGUCAGCGACUUAUAUUCUGUAGCAAGGUUAACCGUAUAGGGGAGCCGAAGGGAAACCGAGUCUUAACUGGGCGUUAAGUUGCAGGGUAUAGACCCGAAACCCGGUGAUCUAGCCAUGGGCAGGUUGAAGGUUGGGUAACACUAACUGGAGGACCGAACCGACUAAUGUUGAAAAAUUAGCGGAUGACCUGUGGCUGGGGGUGAAAGGCCAAUCAAACCGGGAGAUAGCUGGUUCUCCCCGAAAGCUAUUUAGGUAGCGCCUCGUGAAUUCAUCUUCGGGGGUAGAGCACUGUUUCGGCUAGGGGGCCAUCCCGGCUUACCAACCCGAUGCAAACUACGAAUACCGAAGAAUGUUAUCACGGGAGACACACGGCGGGUGCUAACGUCCGUCGUGAAGAGGGAAACAACCCAGACCGCCAGCUAAGGUCCCAAAGUCAUGGUUAAGUGGGAAACGAUGUGGGAAGGCACAGACAGCCAGGAUGUUGGCUUAGAAGCAGCCAUCAUUUAAAGAAAGCGUAAUAGCUCACUGGUCGAGUCGGCCUGCGCGGAAGAUGUAACGGGGCUAAACCAUGCACCGAAGCUGCGGCAGCGACACUAUGUGUUGUUGGGUAGGGGAGCGUUCUGUAAGCCGUUGAAGGUGUGCUGUGAGGCAUGCUGGAGGUAUCAGAAGUGCGAAUGCUGACAUAAGUAACGAUAAAGCGGGUGAAAAGCCCGCUCGCCGGAAGACCAAGGGUUCCUGUCCAACGUUAAUCGGGGCAGGGUGAGUCGACCCCUAAGGCGAGGCCGAAAGGCGUAGUCGAUGGGAAACAGGUUAAUAUUCCUGUACUUGGUGUUACUGCGAAGGGGGGACGGAGAAGGCUAUGUCAGCCGGGCGACGGUUGUCCCGGUUUAAGCAUGUAGGCGGAGGUUCCAGGUAAAUCCGGUACCUUGUUAACGCUGAGGUGUGAUGACGAGGCACUACGGUGCUGAAGUGAUAAAUGCCCUGCUUCCAGGAAAAGCCUCUAAGCAUCAGGUAACACGAAAUCGUACCCCAAACCGACACAGGUGGUCAGGUAGAGAAUACCAAGGCGCUUGAGAGAACUCGGGUGAAGGAACUAGGCAAAAUGGUGCCGUAACUUCGGGAGAAGGCACGCUGAUAGGUAGGUGAAGCCCCUGCGGGCGGAGCUGAAAUCAGUCGAAGAUACCAGCUGGCUGCAACUGUUUAUUAAAAACAC